This 442-nucleotide ribosomal RNA is filed under the name uncultured bacterium. Its description in RNAcentral is "partial 16S ribosomal RNA". It matches the Rfam family "Bacterial small subunit ribosomal RNA", at positions 338 to 795 of the family's 1533-position model. The record is from RNAcentral.
CCUACGGGAGGCUGCAGUGGGGAAUAUUGGGCAAUGGACGCAAGUCUGACCCAGCAACGCCGCGUGAAGGAAGAAGGCUUUCGGGUUGUAAACUUCUUUUAAGGGGGAAGAGCAGAAGACGGUACCCCUUGAAUAAGCCACGGCUAACUACGUGCCAGCAGCCGCGGUAAUACGUAGGUGGCAAGCGUUGUCCGGAUUUACUGGGUGUAAAGGGCGUGCAGCCGGAGAGACAAGUCAGAUGUGAAAUCCACGGGCUCAACCCGUGAACUGCAUUUGAAACUGUUUCCCUUGAGUACCGGAGAGGUCAGCGGAAUUCCUUGUGUAGCGGUGAAAUGCGUAGAUAUAAGGAAGAACACCAGUGGCGAAGGCAUCUCACGAAUCCGCGAUUGACGCUGAGGCACGAAAGCGUGGGUAUCAAACAGGAUUAGAUACCCGGGUAGUC